GAUGAACGCUGGCGGCGUGCUUAACACAUGCAAGUCGAACGGAAAGGCUCCUGCUUGCUGGGGUACUCGAGUGGCGAACGGGUGAGUAACACGUGGGUGAUCUGCCCUGCACUUCGGGAUAAGCCCGGGAAACUGGGUCUAAUACCGGAUAGGACGACGGUUUGGAUGCCAUUGUGGAAAGUUUUUUCGGUGUGGGAUGAGCUCGCGGCCUAUCAGCUUGUUGGUGGGGUAGUGGCCUACCAAGGCGUCGACGGGUAGCCGGCCUGAGAGGGUGUACGGCCACAUUGGGACUGAGAUACGGCCCAGACUCCUACGGGAGGCAGCAGUGGGGAAUAUUGCACAAUGGGCGGAAGCCUGAUGCAGCGACGCCGCGUGGGGGAUGACGGCCUUCGGGUUGUAAACUCCUUUCGCUAGGGACGAAGCGCAAGUGACGGUAACUGGAGAAGAAGCACCGGCUAACUACGUG
Molecule: ribosomal RNA, 466 nt
Filed under: uncultured bacterium
Lineage: Bacteria
Description: partial 16S ribosomal RNA
Rfam family: Bacterial small subunit ribosomal RNA
Source: RNAcentral